Molecule: unclassified non-coding RNA, 516 nt
Filed under: Hevea brasiliensis (rubber tree)
Lineage: Eukaryota; Viridiplantae; Streptophyta; Magnoliopsida; Malpighiales; Euphorbiaceae
Source: RNAcentral
UUCUUGUGAAUCAAUUUAACAAGCACCUUCUGAUAACUCCUCUGAACCAACCACCUCAACGCCUCCAUCGAACCUUUAGCUUCAGCUUUCCUAGAUACACUGUUAGCAGGAGGGACCGUGACACCCGACAGACCUGCAGCCACUACACUGAGAGAGUCCCUCAGCAUAUCCCCAUAACCCACAUUCAGAGCUGCGUCCACGUUACACUUCGAGAACUCUUCAGGAGGUUUGGACCAGCUUAUGACUUCAAGGCUGUUCCCAGCACCCGGAUUCUGAGCUGCCCCACCCAUCCCUCGACGCUUGUCUUUCCUGCAAGAACUGGUUUGCGAACCUGGUAACCUCUUCCAGAGAAUAGUAUUUGCCUUGCCAGGGAAACAUGUCAAGUGAAGACCUCUCCACUGCCUGCAAUCAUUGGGGAUUCCAUAAAGAAAUUCAAUUUUAACCUUUUGCUAAAUAAUUAGCAUUUAUUCGACCAAUAAUAAAUUAUUAUUCAACCAUUCAUUCAAUCAAUUGACG